This 288-nucleotide ribosomal RNA is filed under the name uncultured Turicibacter sp. Its description in RNAcentral is "partial 16S ribosomal RNA". It matches the Rfam family "Bacterial small subunit ribosomal RNA", at positions 28 to 334 of the family's 1533-position model. Lineage: Bacteria; Bacillati; Bacillota; Erysipelotrichia; Erysipelotrichales; Turicibacteraceae. The record is from RNAcentral.
GAUGAACGCUGGCGGCGUGCCUAAUACAUGCAAGUCGAGCGAACCGCUUCGGUGGUGAGCGGCGAACGGGUGAGUAACACGUAGGUGAUCUGCCCAUCAGGACGGGGACAACGAUUGGAAACGAUCGCUAAUACCGGAUAGGACGAAAGUUUAAAGGUGCUCCUGGCACCGCUGAUGGAUGAGCCUGCGGCGCAUUAGCUAGUUGGUAGGGUAAAGGCCUACCAAGGCGACGAUGCGUAGCCGACCUGAGAGGGUGAACGGCCACACUGGGACUGAGACACGGCCCAG